This 498-nucleotide ribosomal RNA is filed under the name uncultured bacterium. Its description in RNAcentral is "bacterial SSU rRNA". It matches the Rfam family "Bacterial small subunit ribosomal RNA", at positions 29 to 517 of the family's 1533-position model. The record is from RNAcentral.
AGUGAACGCUGGCGGCGUGCUUAACACAUGCAAGUCGAGCGAGAUUUGACAGCGUAUCGUCAAGUCUAGCGGCAGACGGGUGAGUAAUACUUGGGCAAUCUGCCCUUGAGUGGGGGACAACCUGCCGAAAGGCGGGCUAAUACCCCAUAAGACCACGGGAAUGCAUAUUCCAGAGGUCAAAGCUCCGCAAGGGGCGCUUGAGGAGGAGCCCGAGUCCUACAUGGUAGUUGGCGGGGUAAUGGCCCACCAAGCCGUUGACGGGUAGCCGACCUGAAAGGGUAACCGGCCACACUGGCACUGAGACACGGGCCAGACUCCUACGGGAGGCAGCAGUGGGGAAUUUUGGACAAUGGGGGCAACCCUGAUCCAGCGACGCCGCGUGAAGGAUGAAGGUCUUCGGAUUGUAAACUUCUUUUGAAGGGGAUGAAUGACCUGGUGAAUAGCCAGGAAUGACAGUACUCUUCGAAUAAGCCACGGCUAACUACGUGCCAGCCGCCG